RNAcentral lists this transfer-messenger RNA (357 nucleotides) under Polynucleobacter sp. It matches the Rfam family "transfer-messenger RNA". Rfam says of the family: Bacterial tmRNA, also known as 10Sa RNA or SsrA, is named for its dual tRNA and mRNA-like properties. The record is from RNAcentral. Lineage: Bacteria; Pseudomonadati; Pseudomonadota; Betaproteobacteria; Burkholderiales; Burkholderiaceae.
GGGACCGACUUGGUUUCGACGUGGAUUGCGAAGCAUGCAGGGCAUACCGAGGACCCGUUAUCUCGUAAAUCAAUGGGAUUGUAAUAACUGCUAACGACGAACGUUACGCACUAGCAGCCUAAGGGCUGUCGCCCUCGAACCAGUUUGCCGAUAGACUGGGGUAGAAAUACCAUUCGAGGUCAUUUAUAUCGGAUCGUGUCGUUGAGGGUCGCUAUCAACGAAGCUAGAACUAAAGCGAAUCGUUUAAUCAAAGCAUGUUGGUCUGCGCUGGUUGAAUUAAAUCAAAUGACACAACUAAGUAUGUAGAACUUCAUGUAGAGGAUUUGCGGACGCGGGUUCGAUUCCCGCCGGUUCCAC